RNAcentral lists this ribosomal RNA (413 nucleotides) under uncultured Funneliformis. Its description in RNAcentral is "partial 28S ribosomal RNA". Lineage: Eukaryota; Fungi; Glomeromycota; Glomeromycetes; Glomerales; Glomeraceae. The record is from RNAcentral.
GAGAGUUAAACAGUACGUGAAAUUGUUGAAAGGGAAACGAUUGAAGUCAGUCAUACUAACGGGAAAUCAACCUCUUGAGUUUGGUCUCGUGGGUUUUGAAGAGUUUAAAAGCCUUCGGAUUUUCGAGAUUGGAUUCUUCUGGUGUACUUUCUCGUACGGUUAGUCAACAUCGGUUUUGAAUGUCAUAAAAUGACUGGAGGAAUGUGGCUUCGAUCUCGUAUUGAAGUGUUAUAGCCUUUGGUAGAUGUGAUGUUCGAGACCGAGGAUUGUGCAACGGAUACCCUUCUGGGCUAUUCGUCUGAUCUCUGAAACGUUGCCUUGAUGUCGAAAGCUUGCUGAAGUUGUUCGGACCGUUGGUGAAAAGGUUGGAGCGACCGGAUCGUUAAGGAUGCUGACGUAAUGGCUUUAAACGA